AUGGACAGUCAAGAAAGUGCAAAGAGUGUUGUGGAUUGCUGUGAAAUAGGCGAUCUUGCCGACGAUUUAGAACCAGUGUGCGAGGAUUAUUUCUUUGUGCCAGCACCACGGCUCACAGCCUUGUGCACACAGAAUCCAGAGGAAAAUGAUUUUCAAGAUUGUAUAGAUGAAGAAGACGAUGAACAGAUCACGGAAUUUGAAACUUUUGACAUUCAGAAUCCCGAGGAUUUCAUGUAUCAAAGUCUCAUGAUAGAGGAGGGCGAAGUGUUUAUACCUGAAGAUGAAAAUGAGGAAUGGCAACCAGUCUGGGAGCCUGUGUCCAUGGAAGAAAAACUUUUCUCUGAUCAGACAGAACUUCGCAAAAUGAUCCAUAAUGGCUGUUGCAAGAAUCACUGUACAAAGAACUUUUCAGAAGAUGAGCUCAUCAAGAUGAACAUGGACAGUCUUGAGCUGGACUAUUUUUGUGAUGGUACCAACGUUUUAGAUUUAGUAGUCUUAGGACAAUUAAGAGCCACUUGUAAAUUAGAUGAUAAAAUCAAGAUAUGUGGCAAAACAAUUGUGGAUAAAAAAAGAGAAAGAGGUAGAAUGGCUUAUUCUUUAAGUGGUAAAACUGUCUGCCAGAGUCUGUUUUUGAUUGUUAAUGGAAUAAAAAUCAAGAGAUUUAAACGCAUUUUGCGUCAUUAUAAAGAAAAUGGCGUGGAAACUCCUCAUCACAAGAAUAGAAAUAAAUGUCCCAAAAAUGUUACCGCACAUGAGGAGAUAGUGCGAGCGGUCAAGUUUAUUCAGAACUUUGCAGAAAGUAAUGCUUUGUUCAUGCCAGGGCGAGUUGCAGCUCAUUUUAAUAUAGUUAAAUUGCUUGCAUCCUCUGAAACAAAACGUGCUAUUUAUGAAAGGUACCAGACACUCAGUGAAAACAUGAAUCUGCGGCCAGUUUGUAAGUCAGUAUUUUUGAAUAUAUGGUUACAAUUUUGCUCUGACAUUGUAAUUAUGAAACCAAGAACUGACCUCUGCGCUAAAUGUCAAAAUUUCAUGACCUCCCACUCUAAACUAAAAGGGUGUACUGAAGAGCAGAAGAAAGAGUAUUAUUCUGUGUGUCUACAACACCUGGAGCAUGUCAAAAAAGAGCGAGCAGAGUACUUGUCUGAAAUAGAAAAAACCAGAGAGCAGGCAGAAGAUGAAAAUAAUAAUCGAACUACAAAGCACCUCAGUUUUGAUUUUGCCCAACAAAUUCAUAUUCCUCAUGAUUCCCAGCAAGUAGGGCCUAUUUACUUUCUCACUCCAUAUAAAGUCGGGCUUUUUGGGAUAAUGGAUGAUACAAAAAAAGUUCAAGAUAACUAUCUAAUUCCCGAGUCGGUAAAAAUUACAAAGGGAGCUAAUGCAAUAGUAAGCUAUUUGCACCAUUAUUUAGAAAGCCAUGAUGGCACAGUAGAAGAUCUGCUCCUACAUGCUGACAAUUGUGUGGGGCAAAAUAAGAAUAACAUAGUAGUUGACUACCUGAGCUGGAGGGUCCAGAAGGGUCUUAAUUCUCAUAUCAAAUUAUCUUUCCUCCCUGUUGGGCAUACUAAAUUCUCUCCUGAUUUUGCUUUUGGCUUAUUUAAGAAAAAAUUUAGAUCUAGUCAAGCAAGUAGCAUAAAUGAAGUUGUUGAAAUAGUCAAAGAGUCUACUCCUUUUAGUAAUUUGAACCAGGCUGUGGUAACUGGGACAGAGGCAGGACAAGUUUUAGUUCCAAUCUAUGACUGGCAUGACUACUUUAAUAAAAAAGAGUGGAAAAAGUUUCCUCUAAUUACGCAUCAUUAUCAUUUUGAAUUUAAAUCUGAAAAUAAAGGAACUGUGUAUGCCAGAAAAACUCUUGAAAGCUCCGUCACGGAACAUGUGAUUUGUGAUGGAGAAGAGGUUUUAAAUGAUUUUCCACUAGAAAUUCAGCCAGAGGGCCUUCCUCUCAAAAGGCAACAAUACUUGUUUAAAAAGAUCAGAGAGUUCUGCUCAGAGUCUUGUAGAGAUACGUUAUGCCCAAAUCCCAAUCAACUAGACCCAGACAUUGAUGAUCCACCACAUGCUGACCCAACUCCACCUGCUGACCCAACUCCACCUGCUGACCCAACUCCACUUACUGACCCAACUCCACCUGCUAACCCAAUUCCACUCGUUGACCCCGCUCCACUUACUGACCCCACAGCUUGUGCUUCAAUUGCUCCAAACAAUCCCCUUGCUGUCCCUGCUCCACGCAAUCCCCUUUCUGUCCCAGCACCGCGCGCACCACGGACAUCACGCGCACCACGCAAUCCCCUUGCUGUCCCCGCACCACGCGCACCACGCGAUUCACUCGCUACCCCCGCACCACGCGCUCCACGCACUCAACGCACUCCUCUCGCUACUCUCAAUCCACCCAAUCAACUCGCCACCCCCCCUCAACCUGUUCCCUCCCGGAAACGACCUUACUCAGCAACAAAACCUACCUAACUCGAAUCUAAAAUUUAGUGGUUCAUCGAAUGUCGAAACAGGUUUUCGUUUUUUUUCUUUUUCUGAAAGGUUUAACUUUUGAUUACUUUUGAUAUACCUAUUUUGUAUUUAAUUUUAAGCCAAUUCAUACAAUUUUUCAAUAUUUUCUCAGCAACAAAACCCACUUGACUCUAAUCUAAAUUUUAGUGGUUUAUUGACUGUCAAACAAGUUUUUUUUUUUUUCCCUCUUUCCAGAAGGUUCAACUUUUUUGGUAAAUUUAUUUUUUAUUUAAUUUCAAGACAAUUUUUACAAUUUUCCAAAAUUUAUACUUUGCAGGGGUCUGUUAUCACUCACUGACAUUAAUUGUGACUUAUCUUUUUGUUGAUAAGAAUCCUCAUUACCUUAAAUACUAUUUAAUUUUCAAAUAAAUUUUUGAAGCCACUAUAUUCUUGUAAGAUCAUUUCAUGUAACACAGAACGUAGAAUUCAAAAUUUUGUGCGUCAGAUUAAAAGUUGAUGUUAAUAUGACUCUUAGACCAAUUAAGAAUCUGGUUGGUAGGCUAGAUUUUUGACUUAAAAACUGCAACUUACAAGUCCACAGUCCAUAGUACCGAAACGUACAAAUUCUUCGCAGUACAGUCAAGGUUUUUCAUGUUAUGACUGAUAUGCCAGCUAAGGUCCCUUGUUGCACACGCUGAUUUUUGGUCCCAAAGAGUUUUCAUCUUAAGCCUCAAGGUCCCAAAGUAUUAAAAUAUUCAAAAUUUUCGCAUUAAAGGUGUUCAUAUGGUCAUAUGCCACGUAAGGUCCCUUGUCAAACAUGCUGAUUUUUGGUCAGAAAGAGUCUUCAUUUUAAGCCUCAACGGUCCGAAGUAUCAAAACAGUCAAAAUUGCAGCGUGAGAAUGAAUGGUGUCCAUCAUAUGACCAUAUGCCAGUUAAGGUCCCUUGUUAAACAUAUUGUUUUUGGUCGAAAAAAAUAUUCAUCUAAAGCCCGAACGGCCCAAAGUAUCAAAACGUUCAAAAUUUCUUCAUGGAAGGUGUCCAUAUGGUCUUAUGCCAGUUAAGGUCCCUUGUUAAACAUGCUAAUUUUUGGUCGGAAAGAGUCUUCAUCUUAAGCCUCAACGGUCCGAAGUAUCAAAACAUUCAAAACUUCCACGUGGGAGUGAAUACUGUCCAUGAUAUGGUCCUUUGCCAGUUAAGGUCCCUCGAUAAACAUGCUAAUUUUUGGUCGAAAAAACCUUUAUCCUAAGUUUCAAAAGUCCGAAGUAUCAAAACAUUCAAAAUUUCUUCAUGGAAUGUGUCAAUAUGGUCUUAUGCCAGUUAAGGUCCCUUGUUAAAACAUGCUAAUUUCCGGUCGAAAAGAACCUUCAUCCUAAGCCCCAACGGCCCCAAGUAUCAAAACACUCAAAAUUUCUUCAUGAAAGGUGUCAAUAUGGUCUUAUGCCAGUUAAGGUCCCUUGUUAAAACAUGCUAAUUUCUGGUCGAAAAGAACCUUCAUCUUCAGCCCCAACGGUCCCAAGUAUGAAAGCACUCAAAAUUUUCGCGUGAAAGUGAUCGGUGUCCAUAAAUGGCCAUAUGCCAGUUAAGGUCCCUUGUUAAACAUGCUAAUUUCUGGUCGAAAAGAACCUUCAUCUUAAGCCCCAACGGUCCCAAGUAUGAAAGCACUCAAAAUUUUCGCGUGG
RNAcentral lists this long non-coding RNA (4119 nucleotides) under Bemisia tabaci. RNAcentral describes it as "lncRNA ENSASIAIIG009343". The record is from RNAcentral. Lineage: Eukaryota; Metazoa; Arthropoda; Insecta; Hemiptera; Aleyrodidae.